Lagopus leucura (white-tailed ptarmigan) is the source of this 1144-nucleotide long non-coding RNA. RefSeq lists it as uncharacterized. NCBI's taxonomy places the organism in Eukaryota, Metazoa, Chordata, Aves, Galliformes, Phasianidae. The record is from RefSeq and is a predicted model, not a curated record. The transcript is spliced from 5 exons.
CCCUGCCUACCUGAGACUUUGCAAAGUAACAGAUCUGCGUUGCCAUUGCAGCAAGCCAUAUUUCUGCAGAGUUGCAUUGGGCUGACUAAGGCAUGUCUCCGUCCUUGCAGAGCUCAAGAACUGUUAAGACAAUGAUCAACACAACAUAACUUCCAGGAUCCCUUUUGUGUUGCGCAUAUAUCUCUUGGCUGCUGAACAAAAGGUCUGUCUCAUUUUUAUGGCUGCUUCAGUCUGUUUCUUAUUCAAGUCUGUGUCAUUGCACCAAUGUGCAAGCUGGUCUUCAUCCCAUAAGUGCCAUGCAUGUGGACAUUAGCAAAUGAAGAACAAGAAGUGCACAGAAGAACUAGAAUUUUUUAACUGGCAGUGAGAAACAUGUUGGGUGAAACUGUGGCUCCGCUGUGAUAAUGGCAAAGAUCUCCUUUUGAAUUCAGUAAGACCAAGAGAAACAGAUCUCAGAAGAGAAGAGAGAGAUUACUUUAAGAGGCUUUUAUGGGAGCACAUGGAAAACAGUGUACCCCAAACCAUUAAAAAUGAUGGGAAGUGCAGGUCUUUAGUCCUAACCUCUUUAUGCCUAAGAAAACAUAUUGUGUGCAGUUCUGCUCUUUUUCUAAUAGGUGGCUUAAGAAGAUGAAAGAGACAGUGUUGCUCUAAAAAUACUUGGUUCUCCUUAAAAUUAUGUACCUACCAUUCUUUCUUAGCAGCUGAGCUAAUUAAAUGAGGAGCUAAAAUACAUCCUUGUUUUAGCUUUGCUCAGUGUGCUUCAUUUAAGGAUUACAGGCCAUUGCUGAAUAAUCGGACUGUUUCUCCCAGUGAGCCAGUUCCCAUCCUUUCCUGGCUAUUAGUGUGCUUUCACACAGCAGUAAGAGGGAGGUGAAAAAAUGAAAGGAUUUCUACAAAGCAAAACAAACCAGCCAAAGCCAGUGGGUGAACACAGAGGGAAGUCUGCUAUACUGAGCAGACUGUCCACUUAAUAAAUGUGCACUCAUUCCACCAUCUUUUUUAAGUUCCAAAUGUGAGGUUGUGUUGAAAGCAGACUAACUGCAGAAAGUAUAUUCUCUUUAAGAAGUGCACUGAAAAACAGUCUAAUGUCUGUACAACUGUAUUCUGCUGGGUGAGGCCAUGGUUGGCCUAAACUCCAUCUUGU